This 3343-nucleotide long non-coding RNA is filed under the name Monomorium pharaonis (pharaoh ant). RNAcentral's name for it is "uncharacterized LOC118647458, transcript variant X3". Lineage: Eukaryota; Metazoa; Arthropoda; Insecta; Hymenoptera; Formicidae. The record is from RNAcentral.
ACAGGUAUUAUAUCGUGUGUGCUCGAGUGCAUGAAACAGAAAGGAAAAGGUUUCAAAGAUUAUGAAAAAUUGGUAAUACUAACAUUUGAUGAAGUCUAUCUGUCUAAUAAAAUUGCGAUAGAUCGCAAAUAUGAGCAGGUCGUUGGAUCUCACAAAACGUGUCAAUGUGUCAUGAUACGAAGCUUAUUUUCUAAUUCGAAACAGCCAGUGUACUAUAACUUUGAUGAACCUAUGACUAAAAGUACGCUUCUGCAUGUUAUUUUAGAAAUAUAUAAUAUCGGUUAUACGGUUGUUGCUAUGACGAGUGAUAUGAGUUCGAGUAAUAUGUGAUUGUGGUCAAAAUUAGAAAUAGGAAUUGCACCCAAAAAUGUUACUUUCAGCAUCCUGUUUGUAUAGAACUAAAAAUUUUUGUUUUUACAGAUAUGCCUCAUCUCAUUAAACUUGUGCGUAAUCAUUUCCUCGAUAAUGAGUUCAACGUGAAGUAAUUGGACAACGGAGUAAUUGUUAAUAAAAAAUGUUUGGAACGGAUAUUAGCUAUUAAUAGUAAGGAUUUGAAAGUGGCAUACAAAAUAUAUCUCAGUACCAUUUAGACUUGCAAGGUACUGAGCGACAAAAAGUACUUCCAGCUGUUCAACUACUGUCUGCUAAUACUGCUUCUGCAUUACAAUGGUGUGGGCAAAACGGUUUUCUUGAAAAUGUAGAGUGGAUGAAAACAUCAUGUAUGACCAAGUUGUUGAACGACUGGUUUGAUAUAUUUAAUUCAAAAUCGAUGUAUGGCAAUCAUUCAGGAAAAAAUGCGUACGGCAAAAACUUAGAAGAACAAAAUGCAAUACUUCACAAAGUGACGUCUUUCAUGUACAAAUUAAGAGUAGGAAGGCACAAAAGUUUAAUAUUAUUUCAGAAAGGGUUUAUCGUAAGCAAUAAUUCUUUGGAACAAUUAUUACCGUACUUAAUCGAAAAGUAUAUUAUGACUGAUAUUAAAUAUGUGAUAACAAAUAGGUUAAACCAAGAUGUAUUGGAAAAUUUUUUUUCUUUUAUAAGAUCGAAUGGUGGUGGUGCAAACGAUCAACCAUCAGCCUUAGAUUUUAAGUAUAGAAUGAAACGUUACAUAUUAGGAAAAUUUUCUACGAUAACUUUCUGCAAAAAUACAAAUGUCACAGAAAGCGAACAAAAUCUAUGCUGUUUAAUAUCCGUUUAACAAUAAUAAUAAUAAUUGUGAAGAGUAUACUUUAAGUGAAAUGUUAAGUCCGUACGCAAACGAAGAAGAAACAAUCUAUCAUGUCGAAGAACAAUUGUUAAUGGAGAAUGAAAGUAAUGAUAAGAAAAAUUGCGUUCCAUGUUUCAAUUUAGUAUAUAUUCCUACUUUAGAAGAAGAACAGUUAUUAAAAUCCUUAGAUGAAAUGGAAAUUGUCGACAAUAUUGAAGCUCAAGGUUUACUAUAUAUAGCUGGCUAUGUAGCAUACAGGUUCAAAAAUAAACAUGAUACACUAGGUAUUCAAACAUGUGAGUUACCAACUAAUAAUGACCAAGAUUGGUUACAAUUCAUUUCCCGAGGGAAAUGCAUGUACCCAUCACCUGAGCUUUUAAAAGCUGCACAUGUCAUGAACAGAGAAUUUUGUAAGUAUCAGUUUAAAGCUUAGCAAAGACAAAUUUAUCUUCAAAAAACUUGCGAAUAGAGUAGAAAUUGUAUUAAAACCUAUUGAAUUGCCAAGAGAAGUCUUGUUAUGUCUUAUUAGGACAAGAACCUACAUUAGAGUACGAGAAAUUAAUCGAAUUAUUGCUUUAAAAAAUAGAUUUAAAAAUAAGAAAAAAAAGUUAACCAAAUUUACCAAUAAUAAAUCUUUUUCAUAGCAUUUUUAUAUAUGUUUUUAUUAUUCUUGUCAUUUAACUAUCCCUACAAAGUACAUAGUUUCUUUCGAAGUUUCAUACGAAAAAUGUAUUGACAUUUUUAUGUAUUCGUUUUGUAUACUUUUCUAUAUUUAUUAAGUGUGUAAUGUUUAUUUAUAUUUAUUAAUUUAUAAACUGUGACAAGAUAUUUAUUAAUUCAUAAACUAUUACUUCACAAUAAAUUCUUUCUUGCAAAUUUAAAAUUAAAAUAAUAUAUCUAACGAGAAUGCUACUAACAAGCUAUUUAGAAUCAGCAGUUUUAAAUUUACCGCUUAUUUGUGACGUCACACUUUGGCAAUUCUGAUUGGUAGCAUGCGCAUGAGCAUACCCUUGUCUUUAUACCAUGGUCAAAACUAGGUGUCAGUUCCUUGUAUCUCUACUAACCGUCAACAAGAGCAAAGACGAAAACGACCCAUAGGUAAGGUUAGAGAGUGCCGAAAAACACGGUAGGAAUUGAGGGUUAAGAAUCUUGUUAAAUUUUAUGUUUCAGACUACCUCGAGAGCUCAAAUUACCUCCGCUAACAACAUAUUUUGGCCUUAUGUUCAUAAAUCGUUAAAUAAAUAUAUAUUUUUAUGCAACAAAAAAAUUGUUUUCUAUUCUUUAAAAGUGUACCUUUCAGUGAAAAAAAAGUUUGUACCAAUACAUGCAAUACUUAAAAAAAAUUCAUUAAAAAUAACUUAUUUUUUCGGGCGUCGCACUGUAAUAGCCCCUUAAAUGACCCAUGUAAAAAAUUUUAACCCUAAAGAGAAUCAAAUGUAUGUAGAAUACCCAUACGCACACUCAAACGCACGCACGCACACACACAAGAAAAUCAACGAGAAACUAAACAUUAACCCUCUGCCUACACACGGGGUUACGGUAACCCCAGUCGAUUUUAAAAUGUUCGCUACUUAAAAGUAUUUAGCAAGGGGACGCUGGAACCGGGGGGGGGGGGAGUUUGAACUGUGCUUUACUUAUUCCUUUUUGGGCGUUGUGAAUGUUCUGAAAACAACAGAAGUAGGAGCAUCGAAAGUUUGUGUUGGGAUUACAGUUACCCCGUGUGUAGGGAACGUAACAAAAAAAAUGGAAAAGUUCCAAAUUUGACGGUUUCACAGUUCUACGACUAUGAGCCAACAGAAGAAGAAAUGAAUCUUCUUGAAAAUUUCAAUAAAACUGAUGACCGAGAAUGGAUCUGCAAUUGAGGCUUAAAAUACAUCGCGGGAUAUGUUGCCUAUCAGUCCAGGGACAAGUAUUCCUUUUUGGGAAAUUCAACAAAAGAUUUAGGAUCGCUGGAUAACUCGGAAUAUAUGUUAUCGGGUUUGUAUCCCUCUGAAGAAUUUAUCAAACUGUAAAAGAUUAUGAACGAUGUAUUUGUGUGUGUGUGUGUGUGUGUGUGUGUGUGUGCGUGUGUGUGCGCGCGCGCGUGUGUGUGUGUAUGUAAAGAAUUUCACAGACCGAAUCAACUGAAACUAAAAA